AAGGUGGUUCAUCAACACUGAACCCCAGUGGUUCAGCUGCAAGGCUGGGUAAAGCCAACCCUGGUGCCUGCCUCAGCAGCCUUGUUUGUCCCUUCAUCACCAGGAUGAGGUGACACAGAGAGAUGAGGUGACACAGAGAGAUGAGGUGACACAGAGAGAUGAGGUGACACAGAGAGAUGAGGUGACACAGAGAGAUGAGGUG
RNAcentral lists this non-coding RNA (202 nucleotides) under Mesitornis unicolor (brown roatelo). RNAcentral describes it as "Bag-1 internal ribosome entry site (IRES)". It matches the Rfam family "Bag-1 internal ribosome entry site (IRES)", at positions 225 to 370 of the family's 370-position model. From Rfam's summary of the family: This family represents the bag-1 internal ribosome entry site (IRES). The record is from Rfam by way of RNAcentral. Lineage: Eukaryota; Metazoa; Chordata; Aves; Mesitornithiformes; Mesitornithidae.